UGAGGAAUAUUGGUCAAUGGGCGAGAGCCUGGACCAGCCAAGUCGCGUGAGGGAAGACGGUCCUACGGAUUGUAAACCUCUUUUGCCGGGGAGCAAAGGGGCCAUUGAUGGCAGGAUGAGCGUACCCGGAGAAAAAGCAUCGGCUAACUCCGUGCCAGCAGCCGCGGUAAUACGGAGGAUGCGAGCGUUAUCCGGAUUUAUUGGGUUUAAAGGGUGCGCAGGCGGCUAUUCAAGUCAGCGGUCAAACUUCGGGGCUCAACCUCGUUUUGCCGUUGAAACUGAGGAGCUGGAGUCUGUUCGAGGGACGCGGAAUGCGAGGUGUAGCGGUGAAAUGCAUAGAUAUCACGCAGAACUCCGAUUGCGAAGGCAGCGUCC
RNAcentral lists this ribosomal RNA (375 nucleotides) under uncultured Barnesiella sp. RNAcentral's name for it is "bacterial SSU rRNA". It matches the Rfam family "Bacterial small subunit ribosomal RNA", at positions 355 to 729 of the family's 1533-position model. Lineage: Bacteria; Pseudomonadati; Bacteroidota; Bacteroidia; Bacteroidales; Barnesiellaceae. The record is from RNAcentral.